AGAGACAGUUGUCCUGGAAGCCUCUGGGCAUAAUUAGCUUAGUUUUGCACAACUGUGAGGUUGAGUUUACAGCAAAUAUGAAGCUAUUGGGAGUCUUUGCUAAAAUAAAUGGUCUUUGUGGUGUAUUAUUGACUAUUAUGAGAAAGCGAGAUUCUAGCUAGUGUCAGGAUGUUAGUCAGACAUGCAGACUCUGCUCCUCCUGCAGUGGGACACAGCCUCCUAUCAAAUCAUGGGCCUCUCUGCAGCAUCUUGAAUUGCUGUGUCUCCACGGAAGUGACACUCAGGUGUACCCCGUUUGGAUCUGUGGUGAAGGCGUGUGGGACAGCUCUAUCCUUACAGCAAGACAACCACCAUCUUCAUCAGGUGAGUCGAGUCUGCUUGCAGAGGAUCCUUACAGAUGGGCCUGUAGAGAGUUGAUACUUCCCGACAGCAGGAGGAGUUGGGGAAGGUCACUGGGUCUUCAGUUCCUGUUCUAGCUACUUCUUACAGCUCUGUUGAUGUUUUCUUCAAAACAACCAACCAACCAAACAAAAACCCAUGAGACCUCCAUUAAGGAAAAUGGAUCAGUUUGAUCACAGUGAACGACUUGUGAGUUAAGAGGAAACCUGACAGGAAAGACGAGAAAAGGUUCAGAGAGAAGAACCUGUGACUAUUUUUUUCUGAAUGUGGAAUGGAUGUCCCAACAGCUGCUAUCUGAAUAGUGAAGAAAGUGCCCAGAAGAGAGGCUCCCUGAUGGGUAUGGAGGAAAGAAAACCUAAGCCACCGGUAUGGUCCAAUGCUGGGCCCUUGACAGUCCUCUCCCGCAGUCUUGGCCACGUGUCAUGAGAGGAUGCGCCAUUGGGCCUCUGGGUACACAGGAGGAAAUGGUCUCACUGUGGUGAGGAUGUGGCUGUUAGGAGUGAGUGAGUCCUGUUUUGAAUCACCCUGGGCAGGAGGGCUGACUUAGUGAACACACUGGGUGGAGUCAUUUGUACACGUUCUGUAAACAAUGCUUUUCUUGGGUUUUGGUGUUUUAUAUGAGGACUUAA
Molecule: non-coding RNA, 1028 nt
Organism: Myodes glareolus (Bank vole)
Lineage: Eukaryota; Metazoa; Chordata; Mammalia; Rodentia; Cricetidae
Source: RefSeq, a predicted model, not a curated record